GUUGGUCGAACCCCUUUCUUCUCGAAUUCUCUCCUCCGUCGUUGUCUCCGCCAACACCACCCUUGACGCACCGCCGGCCAAGCCUCCCUCCUCCCUCUCCCUCUCCCUCUGGUGGCAUGGAGCCUUUCUUCUCUCUCACCCUUCUCGCGAUCGAUCUACAGCCGACCACCGAACCUGAGCCCUUCUGCCCCUUUCUCGCGAUCGUGCCAUCAUCAACACCUAAUCCAGAGCUCCUCCUCCACCCGCAGUCUCUCCCUCACGGUGACAUUGGGUGUGUGCCACCCAAUCUUGACGAUACCAGCCAUCCCUAGCUAAGCAGCCACUGGGAUCCAGCACAUGAUCGAUCUUUUCCCUUGGGCACUAACGCCAUCUCUGAUGGUGUUGUGCUAGCAAAACCACUAGCCUUGCCUUCUCGUCGAGUGAUCUGUGGAGAAGCAACCUAGGCCACGGCAAGCUAGGACCUGAUUGUGUGCCAUCAUCGGAGGGUGAUCAUCAAGUGUCCUCUUCAUCAGAUCUGAAGUGGAGAGUUCUAUCUUCCUCGUGGUUGCAUCCGGAUGCCUUCACCAAGCUACUGUAAAUCUGCAUAUUGGAAUAGGGUUAAAGCCGCUUGGAGAUCCUGUCCAUCAGUCUCAUGUCACAUCGGGCGACUUCUUCCGUUAUUGCUUCCGUUCGCUUUAUUGGUUUUGGACUUAUUCAUGAAUAUGUAUCUUUGUAUGGAAUUCAGGUUUGUGUUUUCUUGUAUUUGAUUUGAUGUUAUCGUGUUAAGCCGGGUUGACUCAUCGUUAGUUAUUUUGUUGGUUUCACAUU
Long non-coding RNA from Zingiber officinale, 807 nucleotides. RefSeq lists it as uncharacterized. The record is from RefSeq and is a predicted model, not a curated record. The transcript is spliced from 3 exons. NCBI's taxonomy places the organism in Eukaryota, Viridiplantae, Streptophyta, Magnoliopsida, Zingiberales, Zingiberaceae.